UGAGGGAAAGGCGAAAAGAACCCCGGCGAGGGGAGUGAAAAAGAACCUGAAACCGUGUACGUACAAGCAGUGGGAGCACAGGUUUACCUGUGUGACUGCGUACCUUUUGUAUAAUGGGUCAGCGACUUAUAUUCUGUAGCAAGGUUAACCGAAUAGGGGAGCCGGAGGGAAACCGAGUCUUAACCGGGCGUUAAGUUGCAGGGUAUAGACCCGAAACCCGGUGAUCUAGCCAUGGGCAGGUUGAAGGUUGGGUAACACUAAC
RNAcentral lists this ribosomal RNA (262 nucleotides) under Salmonella enterica subsp. enterica serovar Infantis. RNAcentral describes it as "partial 23S ribosomal RNA". It matches the Rfam family "Bacterial large subunit ribosomal RNA", at positions 504 to 766 of the family's 2925-position model. Lineage: Bacteria; Pseudomonadati; Pseudomonadota; Gammaproteobacteria; Enterobacterales; Enterobacteriaceae. RNAcentral also lists the same sequence under 19 other names. The record is from RNAcentral.